This 353-nucleotide unclassified non-coding RNA is filed under the name Hevea brasiliensis (rubber tree). The record is from RNAcentral. Lineage: Eukaryota; Viridiplantae; Streptophyta; Magnoliopsida; Malpighiales; Euphorbiaceae.
GGGAAUAAUGCCUCAAAAGAUAAGUGUUGCAAUACUUGCCAUAAAUAGACCAUAUUUGUGGUGAUUGUGUGCAUAAUUAGGUGCUAGAAUUCUGCACUACAAUCAUGGCGGUUAUCUGUGUUUAUUCCUAUUUUGUACUCCUCUAAAGAAUAUAAAUACCCUAAUCAGCUUGAGGGGAAUAAUCAAGCUCUUCAGCUCCAAUCUUCUCUUCAUUCUCUACUCUAAAUCUCUCUUCUGUUCUGUUUACAGUAUUAAAGCAGGUUGGGCCCCAUUUCAGUUCGGUUUCCUAGUGUUACUACUGCAUUCAGGUUUUAGGAGUAGAAUUUCUACUUUCAAGUGUCAACAAGAUAUCU